UACAGAGGGGGCAAGCGUUAUUCGGAAUUAUUGGGCGUAAAGGGCGCGUAGGCGGCUUUGCAAGUGACGGGUGAAAUCCCUCGGCUUAACCGAGGAACUGCCUGUCAGACUGCAUGGCUUGAGACCGGGAGAGGUGAGUGGAAUUCCCAGUGUAGCGGUGAAAUGCGUAGAUAUUGGGAGGAACACCAGUGGCGAAGGCGGCUCACUGGACCGGUACUGACGCUGAGACGCGAAAGCGUGGGGAGCGAACAGG
RNAcentral lists this ribosomal RNA (253 nucleotides) under uncultured bacterium. Its description in RNAcentral is "partial 16S ribosomal RNA". It matches the Rfam family "Bacterial small subunit ribosomal RNA", at positions 524 to 776 of the family's 1533-position model. The record is from RNAcentral.